Molecule: long non-coding RNA, 700 nt
Filed under: Hordeum vulgare
Lineage: Eukaryota; Viridiplantae; Streptophyta; Magnoliopsida; Poales; Poaceae
Description: long non-coding RNA (HVUL_LNC012066)
Source: RNAcentral
UUAGAAAGUUCUCCCUACAAAAUCAUAUGGUCUGGGUAUGCUCCAUCUUCACCACACAAAGUAUCUAAAUCAUGCACAACCCCGAUGAAAAUCAAGCAACUGUUUCACACUUUCUUGUUCUCAAACCUUUUCAACUCUCACGCAAUACAUGAGCGUGAACUAUGGAUAUAUCACUAUAGGUGGAAUAUAGUGUGAUGGAGGUUGCAAAAAAAAGGAGAAGAUAGUCUCACAUCAACUAGGCAUAUCAACGGGCUAUGGAGAUGCCCAUCAAUAGAUACUAAUGUGAGUGAGUAGGGAUUUCCAUGCAACAAAUGCACUAGAGCUAUAAGUGUAUGAGAGCUCAAAAAUGAAACUAAGUGGUUGUGCAAAAGAUGUAAUUCCACUAGUUAUAUGAAAGUGACAAAAUAGGAGACUCUCUAUGAAGAACAUGGUGCUACUUUGGAGUACAAGUGUGGAAAAAGAUAGGAGACUCUCUAUGAAGAACAUGGUGCUACUUUGGAGUACAGGUUAUGAAUUUCGUUUUUUUGAAUGGGCUCCUUUGGCCUCUUUUAUUUUUUAUGGGCUUUGCCGGCCUCUUAUAUUUUUUGUAAAGUCCGGAGACUCAUCCCAACUUGUGAGUGAGUCACAGCUUCCAUCAUCCUUUUCUCACACGGGACAAUGCUCUAAUAAUGCAAAUCAUCACACUUUUAUUUACUUACAA